GAUGAACGCUGGCGGCGUGCUUAACACAUGCAAGUCGAACGGUGAAGCAGAGCUUGCUCUGUGUAUCAGUGGCGAACGGGUGAGUAGCACGUGAGCAACCUGCCCCUGACUCUGGGAUAAGCGCUGGAAACGGCGUCUAAUACUGGAUAUGAGCUGCGACCGCAUGGUCAGCAGUUGGAAAGAUUUUUCGGUCUGGGAUGGGCUCACGGCCUAUCAGCUUGUUGGUGAGGUAAUGGCUCACCAAGGCGUCGACGGGUAGCCGGCCUGAGAGGGUGACCGGCCACACUGGGACUGAGACACGGCCCAGACUCCUACGGGAGGCAGCAGUGGGGAAUAUUGCACAAUGGGCGAAAGCCUGAUGCAGCAGCGCCGCGUGAGGGAUGACGGCCUUCGGGUUGUAAACCUCUUUUAGCAGGGAAGAAGCGAAAGUGACGGUACCUGCAGAAAAAGCGCCGGCUAACUACGUG
This 467-nucleotide ribosomal RNA is filed under the name uncultured bacterium. Its description in RNAcentral is "partial 16S ribosomal RNA". It matches the Rfam family "Bacterial small subunit ribosomal RNA", at positions 28 to 507 of the family's 1533-position model. The record is from RNAcentral.